RNAcentral lists this transfer RNA (71 nucleotides) under Marmota marmota marmota (Alpine marmot). It matches the Rfam family "tRNA". From Rfam's summary of the family: Transfer RNA (tRNA) molecules are approximately 80 nucleotides in length. Their secondary structure includes four short double-helical elements and three loops (D, anti-codon, and T loops). RNAcentral also lists the same sequence under 1 other name. Lineage: Eukaryota; Metazoa; Chordata; Mammalia; Rodentia; Sciuridae. The record is from Rfam by way of RNAcentral.
GGGGUUGUGGCUCAGUGGUAGAGCGCUUGCCUAGCAUGUGUGAGGCACUGGGUUCAAUUCUCAGCACCUCA